ACUGUGGUGGAUUCUGUUGUAAGAGAAAAACGGUCAUUAUAGGGAAUGAUAAUGAAGUGAUGGUAUCUUACCAGAAAGCCACGGCUAACUACGUGCCAGCAGCCGCGGUAAUACGUAGGUGGCAAGCGUUAUCCGGAAUGAUUGGGCGUAAAGGGUGCGCAGGCGGUCCAGAAAGUCUGUAGUAAAAGGCAUUGGCUCAACCAAUGUAUGCUGUGGAAACUGAUGGACUAGAGUGCAGGAGAGGGCAGUGGAAUUCCAUGUGUAGCGGUAAAAUGCGUAGAUAUAUGGAGGAACACCGGUGGCGAAGGCGGCUGCCUGGCCUGUAACUGACGCUGAGGCACGAAAGCGUGGGGAGCAAAUAGGAUUAGAUACCCUAGUAGUCCACGCUGUAAACGAUGAGAACUAAGUGUUGGAGAAAGACUUCAGUGCUGCAGUUAACGCAAUAAGUUCUCCGCCUGGGGAGUAUGCACGCAAGUGUGAAACUCAAAGGAAUUGACGGGGGCCCGCACAAGCGGUGGAGUAUGUGGUUUAAUUCGAAGCAACGCGAAGAACCUUACCAGGUCUUGACAUGGCGCUAAAGGCCCUAGAGAUAGGGAGAUAGGCAUAGCGCACACAGGUGGUGCAUGGUUGUCGUCAGCUCGUGUCGUGAGAUGUUGGGUUAAGUCCCGCAACGAGCGCAACCCUUAUCGCAUGUUACCAACAGUAAGAUGGGGACUCAUGUGAGACUGCCGGUGACAAACCGGAGGAAGGCGGGGAUGACGUCAAAUCAUCAUGCCCCUUAUGGGCCUGGGCGACACACGUACUACAAUGGCGACUACAGAGAAAAGCGAGACUGA
RNAcentral lists this ribosomal RNA (836 nucleotides) under mouse gut metagenome. RNAcentral describes it as "bacterial SSU rRNA". It matches the Rfam family "Bacterial small subunit ribosomal RNA", at positions 415 to 1258 of the family's 1533-position model. The record is from RNAcentral.